RNAcentral lists this ribosomal RNA (375 nucleotides) under uncultured bacterium. RNAcentral describes it as "bacterial SSU rRNA". It matches the Rfam family "Bacterial small subunit ribosomal RNA", at positions 31 to 433 of the family's 1533-position model. The record is from RNAcentral.
GUACGCUGGCGGCACGCCUAACACAUGCAAGUCGAACGAAGUAGCAAUACUUAGUGGCAGACGGGUGAGUAACAUGUAGGUAUCUGCCCUUUGGCCUGGAAUAACACGAGGAAACUUGUGCUAAUACCAGAUAAGUCUUUACGGAGAAAGCUUUAUGCACCAUUGGAUGAGCCUGCACUUGAUUAGUUUGUUGGUGGGGUAAUGGCCUACCAAGACUUUGAUCAAUAGCUGAUUUGAGAGGAUGAUCAGCCACAUUGGGACUGAGACACGGCCCAAACUCCUACGGGAGGCAGCAGUGGGGAAUCUUGCACAAUGGAGGAAACUCUGAUGCAGCGAUGCCGCGUGAGUGAAGAAGGCCCUUGGGUUGUAAAGCUC